This 865-nucleotide ribosomal RNA is filed under the name Scolecobasidium cordanae. RNAcentral describes it as "eukaryotic LSU rRNA". It matches the Rfam family "Eukaryotic large subunit ribosomal RNA", at positions 56 to 938 of the family's 3401-position model. Lineage: Eukaryota; Fungi; Ascomycota; Dothideomycetes; Venturiales; Sympoventuriaceae. The record is from RNAcentral.
GAAAAGAAACCAACAGGGAUUGCCUCAGUAACGGCGAGUGAAGCGGCAACAGCUCAAAUUUGAAAUCUGGGGCCUUCGGCUCCCGAGUUGUAAUUUGUAGAGGAUGCCUCGGGGGGUGCUUCGGCCCAAGUUCCUUGGAACAGGAUACCACAGAGGGUGAGAGUCCCGUAUCCGGCCGGCAGUACCCUCCGCGCGAGGCUCCUUCGACGAGUCGAGUUGUUUGGGAAUGCAGCUCUAAGCGGGUGGUAAAUUCCAUCUAAAGCUAAAUACUGGCCAGAGACCGAUAGCGAACAAGUAGAGUGAUCGAAAGAUGAAAAGCACUUUGAAAAGAGAGUCAAACAGUACGUGAAAUUGUUGAAAGGGAAGCGUAUGGGGGCAGACUUGGCCGCGGGGUUCAGGGUGUCUUUUGGCGCCUGUACUUCCCCGUGGGCAGGCCAGCAUCGGUUUUGGGGGUUGGAUAAAGGCGUCGGGAAUGUGGCUCCCCUCGGGGAGUGUUAUAGCCCGUCGCGCAAUGCAGCCACCCGGGAUCGAGGACCGCGCUUCGGCAAGGAUGCUGGCGUAAUGGCCUCAUACGGCCCGUCUUGAAACACGGACCAAGGAGUCUAACAUCUAUGCGAGUGUUUGGGUGUCAAGCCCGAGCGCGCAAUGAAAGUGAACGGAGGUGGGAGCCCGUAAAAAGGCGCACCAUCGACCGAUCCUGACGUCUUCUGAGGGAUUUGAGUAAGAGCAUAGCUGUUGGGACCCGAAAGAUGGUGAACUAUGCGUGAAUAGGGUGAAGCCAGAGGAAACUCUGGUGGAGGCUCGCAGCGGUUCUGACGUGCAAAUCGAUCGUCAAAUUUGCGUAUAGGGGCGAAAGACUAAUCGA